This 159-nucleotide small nuclear RNA is filed under the name Carlito syrichta (Philippine tarsier). RNAcentral's name for it is "U1 spliceosomal RNA (ENSTSYG00000027550.1)". It matches the Rfam family "U1 spliceosomal RNA". Rfam says of the family: U1 is a small nuclear RNA (snRNA) component of the spliceosome (involved in pre-mRNA splicing). Its 5' end forms complementary base pairs with the 5' splice junction, thus defining the 5' donor site of an intron. The record is from Rfam by way of RNAcentral. Lineage: Eukaryota; Metazoa; Chordata; Mammalia; Primates; Tarsiidae.
AUACUUACCUAGCAGGGGAGAUUCUAUGAUCACAAAGGUGUUUUUCCCAGGGCAAGUCUUAUCCAUUGCACUGCAGAUGUGCUGACCCCUGACGUUUCCUCAAAUGUGGGAAAAUGGACUGCAUAAUUUGUGGUAGGGGAGACUGAGUUUAUGCUCCCC